Molecule: non-coding RNA, 170 nt
Organism: Drosophila suzukii
Lineage: Eukaryota; Metazoa; Arthropoda; Insecta; Diptera; Drosophilidae
Source: RefSeq, a predicted model, not a curated record
UAUUAAGGAUACAUGAAUAGUUGAAGUGCUGGAGGAGAUCCACAAGGGAAUCGCAGUGGGAAGGAACAUGCCAAGUGGGACUUCGAUCUCUACAUGGACAUUCUGCCGGCCGCGUCCUCGCAAAGAAACAGAACCACCAGUAAUACGAUCUCCGACGACCUCUCCAUUAG